This 221-nucleotide ribosomal RNA is filed under the name uncultured Alistipes sp. RNAcentral describes it as "partial 16S ribosomal RNA". It matches the Rfam family "Bacterial small subunit ribosomal RNA", at positions 1160 to 1382 of the family's 1533-position model. The record is from RNAcentral. Lineage: Bacteria; Pseudomonadati; Bacteroidota; Bacteroidia; Bacteroidales; Rikenellaceae.
AAGGUGCGAGAAGGGGGGAGUGACGUCAAUCAGCACGGCCCUUACGUCCGGGGCGACACACGUGUUACAAUGGCAGGUACAGAGGGCAGCUACCCAGCGAUGGGGUGCGAAUCUCGAAAGCCUGUCUCAGUUCGGAUUGCAGGCUGCAACUCGCCUGCAUGAAGCCGGAAUCGCUAGUAAUCGCGGAUCAGCAUGCCGCGGUGAAUACGUUCCCGGGCCUU